Molecule: long non-coding RNA, 539 nt
Organism: Nerophis lumbriciformis (worm pipefish)
Lineage: Eukaryota; Metazoa; Chordata; Actinopteri; Syngnathiformes; Syngnathidae
Source: RefSeq, a predicted model, not a curated record
AGGGAGGCAACACUACAACAUGUUGAGCCAACUCCGGAACCAGCAGUCACAACUCCACGUUGAGUGCAAGAGUGGGUGUGCAGCGGACAAGUAGGAUGCCACAGGUACAUUACGGUAUGGUACGGCAGCUGCACUGCAGCAGACAGGGAGAGGCUGCAAAGAGUGGUCAAGACGGCUCAGAAGAUCAUCAGCCGCCCUCUCCCCUCUCUGACGGACAUCUACACCUCCCGCUGCCUCAACAGAGCCAGUGCCAUCAUCAAAGACAGCACCCACCCUGGCUCUGACCUGUUCCACCUGCUGCCCUCUGGGAAGCGCUACAGGUGCAUUAAAACCAAAACAAACAGGCUAAAGAACAGCUUCUUCCCCAGGGCCAUAACCAUCCUGAACGGACUGCCCCAUUGUCCCUCAUAACUGCCUUCUCUUCGGUGCAAUAACCCAUUCCACCAACCACCCUGUUUUUGUUUUGUUUUUUCAUGUAUAUAUUCAUUUCACACCAUAUUCAUUGCACUUCUACAUUUUUUAAAUUUUUAUAUAUUUGC